Molecule: long non-coding RNA, 7815 nt
Organism: Grus americana (Whooping crane)
Lineage: Eukaryota; Metazoa; Chordata; Aves; Gruiformes; Gruidae
Exons: 5
Source: RefSeq, a predicted model, not a curated record
ACCAAGACGGGCACAAGGUGCAAGCUGCAUUGAUUUCAUUGGUAGUGUGUGGACUGGGAACUCCUGCCUGUAUUUAUGAGGGUACGGAUUCAGGACUCCCUUCUUAAUUCCAUUGCUGAUUUAUUGCAGAAGAAAGGUACUUAGAUCUGCUUUGAAGAGGCAACCCGAGAGUGUGUUUCUUCCUCUAAGUACCCUUCACUUCCCAGUGGCUUGGUGGGACUCUGGAGAUAUUAACAGUAGGACUGGUUUGCUGCUUUUUGUGUUUCCAGCUCCUGCAGUAGCUCCUGGAGCACCCAGGCAUUGGCAGACAUGUUGGAAGGCAGCCAUGCAGGCGGUGGGGUAUAGCUGAUACCUGUAGAUGGGGCCUUUUUUCCUCGAAAGGAGCAAUGAUGUGGAUCUUGGUAAGUCUGUAGCGUGCAUCAGCUAGAAGUGGUUUCACAGAAUGCUUUAAAUCAAAUCUCUGUAUCUAAAACAGAAGAGCAUGAGAUGGAAAAGAAAUUAAUGUUUAUCUUUCCACUGUAUUUCAGCUACUCUGAAGAACUGUAAGACUUUUUUUUUUCCUUAGCUUUCUGGAACUUCUAAUGCAUUGUAUGCUGUGUAGAGAGUAACAAAGCACCAGUUUGAAGGAAGACAGAAAUGCAUAGGAUGUUUAAUUUUAAUUUUGGAAUAUCACUAAGAGAGCUCAAAGAAAGAUGCUGGCUUGGGUUGAGUUAGCAAUUCAAUGAAAUAUAUGCAUAGGUUGACAUGCAGAGUAAUGACGGCAUAUGACUGAACUGUCACCUAGCUGAGGGGAAAAAAUCUGCCCUUGUGCUGGUUUCUGACUGUUGAUCUCAACCAAUGAGUGAUUCACGUUUCUAACAGAUGUUCCUGAUUUAGGCCAAUGAAAGCUUAUGGGAGCUUUUUCUAGUCUCUGAGGAAAGAACGCCAGCCCAAUCAAACAAGCGAAUUUGGAGCUUGGCAUCUGAAUCGAUCAGCAAAGCUGGAUAAUUUCCUCUUGCAAAAGCUGUGUGCCAUCAUUAUUCUAUGACACCCUAAGAAUUUGUUAAUUAGUGCUGACUUGUUAUUUUUGUCAUCUCCUGCAUUUAAUCAUUUAGCCACUAUUGCCAUCUACCAAGAAAGACACUAAAGCCACUUAUUCAAAAGCCCUGCCUGGCUUGUCCAAAAUAGCACACCAUUCCCAAACCAGCAAAAUAUGAUGCAUACAGCUGCCCCAGCUACGUGAGUAAUUGUAGCAAAUAUUUCUAGAUGCACAGCCACAAAACAAACUCAAGAUGGCUCUGUGUUAGCUGAUAUUUGCCUUUUUAAAAUUAUUGCUAUUGUCAUUAACAUCAUAAAAGCAAAUGGGACUCUGCUGCAAGCCAAACACAGCUGAAAGGACCUCAGGCAGUAGCAUAAUGUAACAAUAAAACCAAAUUCAUGGGGUUCAUCAUCAAAAACUACACUUUGAUUUUUGUCAGCUACAUAGUUACUGCAAAUUUUUAUCCAAUUUCAUCUGCAUGGUGCUCAAGUCCAGUAUUUCUUCGAUUUUUAGUUUGGCAAGGAAGAAUGUCUGAUUUGUUUCACGCCUACUUUGUAAAAUAGCCUGACAAUCAGUGACAUUUCUGGAAGAUGCAAAGUUUCACAAUAUCAAAAAAUACAUGCGGUGAAUCAACCUUCUCAUUAGAAUCUUCAAAAGUGAUUUGACAGCUAAUUCUUGUCACAGGAUAGCGGGAGUCCCUUGGGACUGUGGUGCCUGUCUCCCCAUCACGCUGUAUGACAGGGUUGCCAGUUCACGGGGUGGGAGAGCAGUUUGCUUCAUUCGCUUCCUCCACACUGCAGCUGCACCUAGCCCCAAAUCUGUCACUUAAAGUGUUCAGAAACCACUUCUAAAAAAAUUAGGUGUCAAAAUUUGAAAAUAUUUAAUCAAUUUCACUGAUGUCAUGCACUAUGUCCAUAAAAAUGCUUUGUGUGUGUGAAUAUUUGGAAGCCAAGCUGAAACUAAGUGUAAGGUCCUUAAGGAGGAUCAACAAAUGAAGGGAGGGAGAUAAUGAGCGGAUUUUGGAGAGCAGUUAUUGCUAUGGUCAAGGAUCUCCAACAGGAGCAUCUAAAUCUUUGACAGAGAUGUGUCUCUAAUUUAUAUUCUUUUACAUUUAUCCGUGAUGGUGUGGUUUAUCAUCAUUCUUUUGUCUGCUCUCUGGUUUAUGACCCUCAUGUGGGAAAGCUAAAUUUAGCAUAAAAUAGCCAUAGCGCAUUAAAUCACAAAAAGAAGAAAAUCACAUUAAUAAGUCCUAUUGAAAUGGGAUUUAUGACUCAGUGCUAAAGUACUUUAGAGCUAUAGAUCAAUAUUUUUUAUUAGAGCUGUAGAACAUGCUCCAUCAAACUACCAGUAAGUAUAUACCAAUAGACGAUUAAAACACCUGUAGACAUUGAUAAAGUCUACUUAGAACUGAAAUUAGCAUUCUGUAAAAUACAUAACGUUUCUCAAGAAAGGCUGUAAUAUAGGAAUAGAUCUGUAAUUUAUAGUUUCUACUUAGGGAUGGUCUGUGAUUAAAGCACUACAUUAUUUUUUUCCUUGUAGCCCUGAGUAACCCUGUCUCCCUUGCAGUCUUUGACCCUGCAAGUCGCUGAAGGAUCUGGUGCAGAGUGCAGAACAUGAAUGAACAUUCAAAAAUGAGUGGCAAGGGUUUUCUUGGCUCAUUAAUAUUAACAUCAUUGCCUUGUGGAAUUAGAAAUAAGAGAGGCGUUGCUUUGUUACUUUUGAUUCUCAACAGUCUUGGAAUUUUAUUUUUAAUGUGCUGUAGAUACAGUCUUUAUUCCCCUGCAGAGAGAAUCGACAUUUUCUCCAAGCCCUUAACUUACAAUGUGGCAUAGUGAUAUACGGGAUAAGAGAUCCUGGACUUCCUGAAGCAUAUCUAGUUCCUUGUCGUGAUACUGCUGUUUAUCUCAUCUCUCUGAGUAUGUAUUUUUGGAGAUGUACUUAUGAGUUCAGUUCCCAUUUUGUGCAAGCCUGUUGAUAUGUGCAAAUGUGCUCUCUCAUUUUUUGGUGGGGUAAGAUGGGCGACCUUGCUCAUUACUAUCAUGUGGUUGUAGUAUUUGGUGCUGUUUCUGUGCAAGAACAUCAUUGCUUUUCUGUGGGACUGCUCCUUUAACUCUCGUGUGUCUAAGUGUAAUUUGUAUAUGAAUUAAUGCUUCAUAGAGGGUGGUAAAUUCUGGCGAGAAGUGCUGUGUGACGCCCUGUCCAGGCAAAGCAUUAUUAGUUGGGUGGACAGCUGGGCAUAAGAAAUUUGAGAACUCUGAAAUGGGGUGAAAAGCCUUUGUUUUUUCUUUCCUGUAGUCUUCCACUAGUGCCUACAGAGUGUAAAAAGCCCAAGUCAUAUAUCUUUUAUCCAGCAGCUAAAGAUGCAAAACCUCAUGGUGGUGGGUUUAGGGGUGUGAGGGGAAUUAGUUGCACCAAUCUGAAAAUGCGGAGUAAAUUACUUGACUCCAGCCUAAGGAGGGGGCUGGGGAAGCUGUGUGCUUUCUCACUGGUUUGACUCUGGGAUGGGAAAAUUUUCUCACAGCUGGGGGAUCUAGUAAUCUCCUGGCUGCAGGCUUUGAACUGAAAAUACAGGCUACUAUCAGAGCUAGGUUCCUCAGGCCCUAAUGUGGGAUUAUGGUGAUAACUGCACGGUUUAAUAAAAUGUUGUAGCUGGGAUUUGAGUGGGAGCUGUUCAGAGCAUGCCAGCGUAAGCACGGCCACAACAACGAGACGUGCAGCUCUCGGCACUGCUUUGAGCAGAAGGCAACAGGCCAGCAAACAGGCAAAGCUUCUAACAGCUGCUGAGGUUUUAAAACUUGGAGAUGUUUAAAACCAGAUUUUUAUAAAAGCUGACCUAGUAAAGAAAGUCUUGCAGGUUUAUUUCGCAGGCUGCACUGCAUAUAGUAGUAAGGCACUUUGUGUAGACACUGAAAUCUAUUUCAGUUCCUGAGGGAGAAAGAGAAAUCAAAUGCUUAAUCAAGGUUCUGUUCAAAAUCAAAAUGUGUGUGAAGGAGGAAAACUUGUUUGAAAAUACUUCUAGAGGCAGUGAAUAAAUCCUGUAAUGAUCACUUCAGGGGAAGAGAAACCCUUUACCCAGCCAGUAAAUCCUCCAAGGUUUAUUUCUCUUCAUUUCCCAUUCAGAGCUAGAAAUGGAGGAGGGAAACACAUCUCAUGUGGUUUUUCCCUAUUGCUCAUGUUGUGGUGUAUAAACACUCAGAAAGCCCCAAAAGCUUUUAUUUGUUUCAGUCACAAAGAAAACCUUCAAACUGUGACAUCUUUGGGGAGAAAUGUGUUCAUACAGUGCAACGGGACUGCUUUCAUCGCCUGAACCUCCUUCCUGCAUUACAGCCUGCUUCUCAUUGUGACUCAGUUGCCCAGGCAGUCCCUACUCAUGGGGUCAAACUGGAACAUUUUCAAGAGAAUGUGCUAAAAUCCAAGAACGUACAAAAAGUUGCCCAGUGACCAAAUGCCUCUGAACUCAUUCCAAACCUUGCUUGGAAAUGUUGCUUCUUAAAUGUUGGAAAUGUCUUGUGGCUAUAAUGGGAAGCUGAUAGUGUCCUGGAAACAUAUCCCUCUGGAGUUUUACUGUACAUUUAUUAUUAAAAACAAGCUACUGAGAUUCAGAGUCAUACCAGCAGACCUCCCUUCCACACACCCUGAAAGGCUUGCUUGUGUACUACAAUCAAACCAUUAGGAAUUGGUUCUUUCUGAGGAAAAUACAGAAAAAGGACUAAAGUAAUUAUCCAUAUACAGGACUCCAUGAGAAUUUCAUCUGGAUAUCUUCUGGUUGCUACUCUCUUGGGCUGAAUUUCAACAAGUGACAGAAAGAUGAAGGGUUCUUGUACCCUUUGAUCAACCCUCCUUUAGACAUUCUACGUAACAACACAUGUUUAAAGAAUGGCUAGAAAAUAGCCAUUAUUAGAAUAACAAGACACUAGAAUUUUUUUUUUUUUUUUUAAAUAGUAUUCAUUAAGUAACCCCUUUCUGGUUGCUUCUGUACUACUGCAUCUUAUUUUUAAAGAUGAUCUGGGACAGUGAUGGUGCAGGUUGUUUUCUGUGACUCUCCUAUAAAUAUCAAGACAUAUAUAUAAAUAAUCCAAGGUAAUUCUGUUCACUUUGGUCAAGAAUAUUCAUGUGGUUUGGGUUUUUUUUUGGGUUGGUUUUGUUUGUUUGUUUGUUUGGGUUUUUUUGGUGUGUGCAGUCCUUACAUAAUAUCAAUGGCUGAUUUUUUUCCUGCCCUGGCUUCCAUUGCUUAGAUUACUGUAAUCACACCUUACCGGUCGUCUUUACAUUAAAAUUGCUGUUGUCUGUAUAUGAGGAUAACCAUUUUCUUUACCGAGAUUAUUAGAACAAUCUAUUCUUGGGCAGUGAUCAAGCUUGCAGUGAAGAGACUAUUUUGAUUACAAGUUUUUAGCAUCUGGCUCAACUCCUUACAUCUUUUGGGACAGUUCAGCCUCUCUGCCCACAUCUGCAAUUGGUAGCACAGCUGUUGCUGACCCCUGCAGUGGACACAUAAAGUGACAACAAAGAUCAUGCACUCUGAGAAUAUUUUUGUUUAAGAAAAAACAGAUGAAUCCGUGUUGCAGAACGUACUUUAUAUUGAAUUUGUCUAUCUUGUUACCUAAUAUUUAAGAAUUUUUUUAAUUGGUACUGCAAAGGAGCCUAGCAACUGCAUGUGGUUGAUGUGGAAUUCCUGGUCAAUCAGAAUAAGGGUAACCUCUUGCUUUAGAAUAGCUUUGAAUUUCUAUAUAAUGAUAUGAAUAAAUUUUUAAGGUAUAGAUUUACAAUUGCCUUAAUUACUUUUUGAAACCUUAGUGACAGGGAAAUGUCAUGUGGUUCAAUAUCUGGUUUUCAGUCAGCCAACUAACCAGGUGUCCACAUAACUCUACGUAUUUUCAGUGUGACACAACUGGGACCACAGUCUCAGCUGCUGAGUCUUUCUUGUGCUUCAUGUCAGGAUGUAUACACAUGGAGAGCCAGAAAUAGUAUGAAGAAAUGAGAUAAGCUUAUCCAGCUAUAAAUUAGCCUUUCUGGUUCUGAUUGCUUUUAAGCUUGGAUCUGCAAACAGUCAGAGAUCAAAGGCUAAGACUUCUGUAUUUCUUAAUCUAAUUUUACAUCCCGUUCUUGAAAUAGCAGAAGUAUGCACAUUUUUUACAGAUAUCAGGACAUCUUCCUUCAUUGAGCUCAUCCAGGGGUAUUCAGGAAACCUUACAAAGUGAUGCUGACAUCCGUUUUCUGGAGAGCAUUCUUUGUUCUUAUAGUACAAAUCUCACAUUUAAACUCCAUACUAAGAUGCACAGGCAACUUCUGUUUGAAGAACAUUCAUGUUAUCAUGUCUUUUCCUCAUCGACAACUGCUUUUUAUUUAAAAUAUUUUCAUAUUGUUUCCUUUUUUUGCAGCAUUACUGGACAAUAAUAUCUUGUGGAGUUUUGUAAUAAUUUCCAUAAACACCCUGAAGCAAUGUUUACAGAGACUAUGUUUUGUACUAUCUGAAAUUAUGGUGGUGAGGGUUUGGUAACACAAAAUUCAGUUAUAUUCAUCAUACAGGCUUUGUUGUCUGGUGUGCUGGUGAAAAGUGAAGAAAGAGGAGGAGGAGUGUGCAGGUAAGGAUGACUACUCUGUAGUAGCAAGCCGAAUAUUAUUUCAGUGAGAAUACAUCUAAUUUUGUCUGAGGGGGCUCCCUGUAUUUGCACCUGGGGUUCCUGUAGAUAUAAGGAUGGCUUGAGUCUGAAAUGCUGAAGAUUUUAAUGGAGUUUCAAGGUUUUCCAUACAUUUUUUGUGAACUGUAGCUUUCCCGAAACCAUUGUAACAGGCAUGGAAAUGACAGAAAUGCUUCUAGAAGUGAAGCUCCACAUGAGUUGUCUACUUUAUUUUAGCAGGGUGCAGAGUUUCAAGAAAAUUGAGCAACUGAUAUAUGGGUCACAUCCCUGGUUGGCCUUAGGGCCAGCUGCCACUCUGCAUACAUGAAUGCACAUGAGUCAUCUCAAUGCCUAGGGGAGGAGGUAGCUCCAUAGGUUAGGGUAACAUGACAGCUUGUUGGAAAUUAGAGCAGAGACAGGGGCCUUCAGAAGUUUAUAAGCAGAACAGGUGGCAGAAAGUAAGGGGUAAUCACACAUUUUAAAUUAAAAAGAAAAAAAAUAAUCUCUGGAGGCUGCAUGGCCCCAAAAUCUUCUGCUAGGUGCAGGAAGGCUCCUGUGAGAUACAAUGCAUCAGCCACCUAGCAGCCGUACUUUGGCAGGCUGCUCUUUAUCCAGAAAGCCUACUCACUUAGUCUUCUGUAGGGGAUUUAUGUGCUUCACUGAAUGUCCACCUGCUGCACGCGUAUGUCAGCAGCCAGCUCCUGAAGAGCCAUUGCGGGUGCAAUGGGGUUUUGGUGGUGGUUUUUGUCUUUGGGAUAGACUUUUGGGAUAUAUGCUGCAAUUUCUUGGCUGCAUAAAAGGUGUAAUGAGAAACAGAUAAGAAAUGAGCUGAAUAGUCUUGCUGCUUCUGAUAAUAAGGAUACAGGUCCUCAAUGGCAUGAUGCACUACUCUCAGAUCUUUUUUCAGUACUGACUGUUAAACUUCUGCUACUAGAAGGCCAAAUUGGCCUGGUGAAACAGAUCAGUGCCCUAUGCUGUCAAAGUAGUGAUCCUGAGCAGCAUAGAGAAAUCUAGAAAGCAGCAGCACUUCUAUUUCUUAUAAGCUGAUUAUUUGUAUAAGGAAAAAGAAUGGAAAUAUGUGAAUGGAAAAAACCUCAUUUUCCUGUCUUUUAAGAGUCUCUCCAGGUCUCAUCUACAGGACUUCAGUGUGGGACUGACCAUUCAACUUUUGAAAUAUUG